CUUCAAGCUACUAGUCCGCCAACAUGAUAGUACACACGUCCUGCAAGAUACCUCAAAAAUGGCGCCCUUCGCUGCCGCAUUGGGCAUCAGCUUACCCGACGCAUGAGCGCAAUCCAGAAAACCAGCGGACAACGCCAGACCACAAAGGACGCCACUCUGGGAAAAACUUCGGACACCCCGGAACCGACCACCCAAGCGCCAGCAGCAGACAUCGGUGCAGACUCGCGACCGGGACACCUGAAUGGCAUGGAACAAGUCCACCAUGGACUCAACCACUCACAGGCAGAGACUUAAAGGGACUUCCAAACUUUUUGACCUACUUCUGAGUGCGGGAACGCACACCACCAUAUCCUUUUACACUGAGUUUUAUGGCGCUACUUUAGCCAUGGUUUACUAAGGUCUAAGGGGACACAAAAUAGUUACGGGGACGACACUAUAGGGCACUGAAAAGGGCCUAAAGCAGGGGGAAGGGGGGGGGAAGGAAAGGCACUAGAGCAGCUGGGGACGAAAGGGGGGAAAGGAAAGGAGAGGAGGAAAACACGGGAUGGGAAGGAUGGGGGGGGGGCAAGGGGGAGGUACGUACCAUUGGCGAAUCUCACUAAAUGAGACAGGAAGCCCUGGUGGCUCCCCCGGGAAUCGCCAAACUCAACGCAGCUAUGUAGGACCACCAGCACACACCCACUAGACCCGAUAGGGAAGGCCCAGAGCGAACCCACCCCGGGGCACUGAUUACAGCCCGCCUAUGCCCAGAGCGGGAAGCACACGGAGACC
Non-coding RNA from Pelobates cultripes (western spadefoot toad), 771 nucleotides. Lineage: Eukaryota; Metazoa; Chordata; Amphibia; Anura; Pelobatidae. The record is from the annotation of a GenBank genome assembly.